RNAcentral lists this ribosomal RNA (301 nucleotides) under uncultured bacterium. RNAcentral describes it as "partial 16S ribosomal RNA". It matches the Rfam family "Bacterial small subunit ribosomal RNA", at positions 512 to 811 of the family's 1533-position model. The record is from RNAcentral.
CAUCGCCGCGGUAAAACGUAGGUGGCAAGCGUUGUCCGGAAUUAUUGGGCGUAAGGCGCGCGCAGGCGGAUCGGUCAGUCUGUCUUAAAAGUUCGGGGCUUAACCCCGUGAUGGGAUGGAAACUGCCAAUCUAGAGUAUCGGAGAGGAAAGUGGAAUUCCUAGUGUAGCGGUGAAAUGCGUAGAUAUUAGGAAGAACACCAGUGGCGAAGGCGGCUUUCUGGACUGUAACUGACGCUGAGGCUCGAAAGCCAGGGGAGCGAACGGGAUUAGAUACCCCGUAGUCCCUGUCUCUUAUACACA